Molecule: ribosomal RNA, 385 nt
Filed under: Cryptotermes secundus
Lineage: Eukaryota; Metazoa; Arthropoda; Insecta; Blattodea; Kalotermitidae
Description: partial large subunit ribosomal RNA
Source: RNAcentral
CUCUUCUUGUUUGUUGAUUUGAAGUAUGACCUGCCCACUGAGGUUAUUGAAGGGCCGCGGUAUUUUGACCGUGCAAAGGUAGCAUAAUCAUUAGCUCUUUAAUUGUGAGCUGGUAUGAAUGGUUUGACGAGGUAUUGACUGUCUUUAAGUUUGGGGGCUAUUGAAUUUGUUUUUUGGGUAAGAAUACCUAAAUUUUUUUAUGGGACGAGAAGACCCUAUAGAGUUUUAUAUAAUGCGCCUCCCCCUGUUUGUUGUGUUUGAUGUGUGGUGUUGUUAUAUUUUGUUGGGGCGAUGAGAAGACGGGUAUAACUCUUCUUUUUUGUGGUUUCACUUAUUUGUGCUUUUUUGAUCCUUUUUUAUUGAUUGUAAGAUUAAAUUACCUUAG